RNAcentral lists this ribosomal RNA (434 nucleotides) under uncultured Lachnospiraceae bacterium. RNAcentral describes it as "bacterial SSU rRNA". It matches the Rfam family "Bacterial small subunit ribosomal RNA", at positions 341 to 792 of the family's 1533-position model. Lineage: Bacteria; Bacillati; Bacillota; Clostridia; Lachnospirales; Lachnospiraceae. The record is from RNAcentral.
ACGGAAGGCAGCAGUGGGGAAUAUUGCACAAUGGGGGAAACCCUGAUGCAGCGACGCCGCGUGAAGGAUGACGUAUUUCGGUAUGUAAACUUCUAUCAGCAAGGAAGAUGAUGACGGUAUUUGACUAAGAAGCCCCGGCUAACUACGUGCCAGCAGCCGCGGUAAUACGUAGGGGGCAAGCGUUAUCCGGAUUUACUGGGUGUAAAGGGAGCGUAGACGGCUAUGCAAGUCUGAUGUGAAAGGCAGGGGCUCAACUCCUGGACUGCAUUGGAAACUGCAGGGCUUGAGUGCCGGAGAGGUAAGCGGAAUUCCUAGUGUAGCGGUGAAAUGCGUAGAUAUUAGGAGGAACACCAGUGGCGAAGGCGGCUUACUGGACGGUAACUGACGUUGAGGCUCGAAAGCGUGGGGAGCAAACAGGAUUAGAUACCCUGGUA